GAGUUUGAUCAUGGCUCAGGAUGAACGCUAGCGGCAGGCCUAACACAUGCAAGUCGAGGGGUAACAGGGAAGAGCUUGCUCUUUCGCUGACGACCGGCGCACGGGUGCGUAACGCGUAUACAACCUACCUUUUGGAGGGGAAUAGCCCAGGGAAACUUGGAUUAAUGCCCCAUAGUAUGGGAAUAUCUCCUGAUAUUUUCAUUAAACAUUUAUGGCCAUUAGAUGGGUAUGCGUCCUAUUAGUUAGUUGGUAAGGUAACGGCUUACCAAGGCAGCGAUAGGUAGGGGUCCUGAGAGGGAGAUCCCCCACACUGGUACUGAGACACGGACCAGACUCCUACGGGAGGCAGCAGUGAGGAAUAUUGGACAAUGGGCGAGAGCCUGAUCCAGCCAUGCCGCGUGCAGGAAGACUGCCCUAUGGGUUGUAAACUGCUUUUACAGAGGAAGAACCACUCCCACGUGUGGGAGUUUGACGGUACUCUGCGAAUAAGGAUCGGCUAACUCCGUGCCAGCAGCCGCGGUAAUACGGAGGAUCCAAGCGUUAUCCGGAAUCAUUGGGUUUAAAGGGUCCGUAGGCGGGCAGUUAAGUCAGUGGUGAAAGUCUUCCGCUCAACGGGAGAACUGCCAUUGAUACUGAUUGUCUUGAGUUAUUAUGAAGUGGUUAGAAUGAGUAGUGUAGCGGUGAAAUGCAUAGAUAUUACUCAGAAUACCGAUUGCGAAGGCAGAUCACUAAUAAUAUACUGACGCUGAUGGACGAAAGCGUAGGUAGCGAACAGGAUUAGAUACCCUGGUAGUCUACGCCGUAAACGAUGGUUACUAGCUGUUCGGCCCGAUUAAGGGCUGAGUGGUUAAGCGAAAGUGA
This 861-nucleotide ribosomal RNA is filed under the name uncultured bacterium. Its description in RNAcentral is "bacterial SSU rRNA". It matches the Rfam family "Bacterial small subunit ribosomal RNA", at positions 9 to 860 of the family's 1533-position model. The record is from RNAcentral.